Molecule: ribosomal RNA, 403 nt
Filed under: Fusobacteriota bacterium
Lineage: Bacteria; Fusobacteriati; Fusobacteriota
Description: Fusobacteria bacterium partial 16S ribosomal RNA
Rfam family: Bacterial small subunit ribosomal RNA
Source: RNAcentral
UGGGGAAUAUUGCACAAUGGGGGAAACCCUGAUGCAGCGACGCCGCGUGAGCGAAGAAGGUUUUCGAAUCGUAAAGCUCUGUCCUAUGGGAAGAUAAUGACGGUACCAUAGGAGGAAGCCCCGGCUAACUACGUGCCAGCAGCCGCGGUAAUACGUAGGGGGCAAGCGUUGUCCGGAAUCACUGGGCGUAAAGGGUUCGCAGGCGGAAAUGCAAGUCAGUUGUGAAAGGCAGAGGCUCAACCUCUGUAAGCAAUUGAAACUGUAUUUCUUGAGAUGUGGAGAGGCAAGUUGAAUUCCUAGUGUAACGGUGAAAUGCGUAGAUAUUAGGAAGAAUACCGGUGGCGAAGGCGACUUGCUGGACACAAACUGACGCUGAGGAACGAAAGCGUGGGGAGCGAACAGG